Molecule: ribosomal RNA, 504 nt
Filed under: Enoclerus sp. S85
Lineage: Eukaryota; Metazoa; Arthropoda; Insecta; Coleoptera; Cleridae
Description: SSU rRNA
Rfam family: Eukaryotic small subunit ribosomal RNA
Source: RNAcentral
GUACACUCUAAACCCUUUAACGAGGAUCAAUUGGAGGGCAAGUCUGGUGCCAGCAGCCGCGGUAAUUCCAGCUCCAAUAGCGUAUAUUAAAGUUGUUGCGGUUAAAAAGCUCGUAGUCGAAUUUGUGUCCCGCGCCGCCGGUUCAUCGUCCGCGGUGUCAACUGGCGUGUCGCGGGACGUCCUGCCGGUGGGCUUAGCUCGCAAGGGCGGCCCAACUCAAUCCCGCCGCGGUGCUCUUCACUGAGUGUCGAGGUGGGCCGGCACGUUUACUUUGAACAAAUUAGAGUGCUUAAAGCAGGCUAAAACUUCGCCUGAAUACUGUGUGCAUGGAAUAAUGGAAUAGGACCUCGGUUCUAUUUUGUUGGUUUUCGGAACCCCGAGGUAAUGAUUAAUAGGAACGGAUGGGGGCAUUCGUAUUGCGACGUUAGAGGUGAAAUUCUUGGAUCGUCGCAAGACGGACAGAAGCGAAAGCAUUUGCCAAAAACGCUUUCAUUGAUCAAGAAC